Molecule: small nucleolar RNA, 80 nt
Filed under: Myotis brandtii (Brandt's bat)
Lineage: Eukaryota; Metazoa; Chordata; Mammalia; Chiroptera; Vespertilionidae
Description: Small nucleolar RNA SNORD113/SNORD114 family
Rfam family: Small nucleolar RNA SNORD113/SNORD114 family
About the family: The imprinted human domain at 14q32 contains two clusters of tandemly repeated small nucleolar RNAs named 14q(I) and 14q(II) snoRNAs. These two clusters are named SNORD113 and SNORD114 respectively in the HGNC approved gene symbol nomenclature.
Source: Rfam by way of RNAcentral
UGUCACAGUGAUGACGACUGGUGACCUAGGACUCAAACAUGUACAGUAAAAAAGAAUGUGUUUGGAACUCUGAGGUCCAA